Long non-coding RNA from Gekko japonicus, 523 nucleotides. RefSeq lists it as uncharacterized. Lineage: Eukaryota; Metazoa; Chordata; Lepidosauria; Squamata; Gekkonidae. The record is from RefSeq and is a predicted model, not a curated record. The transcript has 5 exons.
GUAUAGGCUGCGCUGUCAGGCCGGUGUCAGUCUGAUGAAGAUUGGCAUGCAGGCGGCAGAAUUAUUGAUCGCUCCACAUGGGCACAUGUUCCUGAACUGGAAGAAUACAUUUCAGAGUGCACAUUGUUCUGUCCCUACCCAUCAGUCCAUUUAGCAUGAUACCUUCUGAAGUUGGAUUCUGAAGCUUUGUGGCCUUUUGCGCCAGUCUUUUCCAAGGGAUCUCUGACUCUCCUUCCAUUGAUGAAGAUUGGCUUGAAUCCUAUUCCUACCCACCCAACUGGCAUCCAUCUGCACCAAACCGUGUAGUCUUUAGAACUUGAUGGAACUCCUCUCUCCAUUUUCAUUCAGACCAAUGUUGAAAACAUUGGAUUGCAUCCAGAGAGCAUCUGAGUGCUGAGGGUACUGCCGCUCAUCAAUUUUCCGAAACGCUCCAUUGAAAAGUAUUCUCCAGGUGGCUCUGCUCUGGCUGGAAGAAGCAGCUUUUGUGUUAACCUGCAAAGAAAGGGCAGAGGGGAGAGUUUCA